AGUGAACGCUGGCGGUAUGCCUAACACAUGCAAGUCGAACGGCAGCACAGUAAGAUCUUGCUCUUACGGGUGGCGAGUGGCGGACGGGUGAGGAAUACAUCGGAAUCUACUUUUUCGUGGGUGAUAACGUAGGGAAACUUACGCUAAUACCUCAUACGACCUACGGGUUAAAGCAGGGGAUCUUCGGACCUUUCGCGUUUGUAUGAGCCGAUGUCGGAUUAGCUAGUUGGCGGGGUAAAGGCCCACCAAGGCGACGAUCCGUAGCUGGUCUGAGAGGAUGAUCAGCCACACUGGAACUGAGACACGGUCCAGACUCCUACGGGAGGCAGCAGUGGGGAAUAUUGGACAAUGGGCGAAAGCCUGAUCCAGCAAUACCGCGUGGGUGAAGAAGGCCUUCGGGUUGUAAAGCCCUUUUGUUGGGAAAGAAAAGCAGCAGGUUAAAACCCCGAUGUUCUGACGGUACCCAAAGAAUAAGCACCGGCUAACUUCGUG
Molecule: ribosomal RNA, 492 nt
Filed under: uncultured bacterium
Lineage: Bacteria
Description: partial 16S ribosomal RNA
Rfam family: Bacterial small subunit ribosomal RNA
Source: RNAcentral